UCUACACACAGUUCCUGAGACUACUUAAUUUCAUUGAAGAGGAGUGGAUUCUUUAGAACUCCUAAUGAUGAAGCCUUGUACUCUCAAAGAAAAUUAAACUAAGUUCCAAAGUUAAAUGAGCAACUUUAUCAUGAGGUACCUUUGAAUAGUAAUAUCAUGGUAAGACAUAGUUGUUAGUGCACCUGGUAGAGACUUUGUGUUGGACCAUGAAACCACUUGUGUUUUGUUUUUUCCCUUAAGCUAGGAACUUUUAAAUUUGUGAAGAUACUGAACAAAUUUAGGUGUUCUUCAGAAUAGGUAUGUCAGGUAGAAAUCACUCUCCUGUACUGAUAUUCAACUGAAAAUCUAUUUUUUUCCUCAGAAAUAUAUCCUCUGGCCUGUGAAUGACAAGUUUAGGAUUUAAGAAAAGUGAGAUUACCAGAAGUAAAGGAAGAAGCAAAAAAUAUAGGUGAAGCAUAAAUUUCAGAGCUGAAAUGUUCUGGGCUUUUUUCCCCCCCUUUAUUUAUUGGAUAGAAAUGGGGAGGGGAGGGGGAGGUAGAGAGGGAGAGAGAUAGAGACACCUGCAGCCCUGCUUCACCAUUUACAAAGCUUACCGUCUGCAGAUGACCAAGGGCUUGAGCCUGGGACAUUGUGCACUAUAAUAACAUGUGCGCUCAACCAGGUGUGCCACCAGCCAGCCCCUGCAAUGUUCUGCUCUGUAGCCACGAGCUGCACAUGCCUGUUAAGCAUUUGAACACACAUGGUUUAUAUUUGAAACUAUAGGAUAAAAUGCACACUGGAUCUUGGCUUAGUAUGAGAAAAAAAUGUAGAAUAAUGUUUUGCAUUGAUUUAUUGAAAUGAACAAGAUUUGAAUAGUACUUUAAUUUAAAAUAUACUAAUUAGUUUGCCACUUCCUUUAACAGUAGUUACUAGGGUAUCAUAAAUUAUGUUUGUGGUAGUGCUACUUCAAAGUCACUUAUGAAACUUAAACAAAAAACAAAAAAAAAACCAAAUGCCUGACCACCACUCAGCUGAAUCAGAUUCUCUUCCUUUCUCCGUCCCUCCUUCCAUCUUGACAGCUCUUACUGGGAGUGAGGUUCCUGUUAGUGAAAUGAUUUUCCAACAUGAUGUAUAGCUCCUGGUAAAUUCUGAACAUAAGAACAUAAGAAUGCUUAAACUCAGUUUAUUUUACAUGGUAAAUAAGCAUCCCUGAAAGAGUCAACAGAUACUAAAAUUCUCUAAAAACUAAUUUGCGUUUAUGUAUAAAGUACAGCUGGGUUCCAAGUUCAAAUUUUUAUAAACAUUAUUUUCCAUCUGUGAUUUUUUUCAUAUAACAAUAUUUUUAAAGAUCAUGCUGUUACUUUGUGACAUUGUCCCUUCCUUGAAGGCCAUCUGGAAUUCUGGCUUCCUUCCCACUGAGGUAUCAGCAGCACUCCCCUCUCCUCUCCCUGUGACAGCUCUGGCGAACUCCUAAGCACUUCCUGACAUGUCUCCUUGAGGACAGCAACCCUCCCCCUCUCCUCUCAGGACUCUCUUACCCCCUCACUCUACUCCCAACCACCUCAUGCUCACCCUCCAGGCUCUGAACUUUUUCAAAAAUAGCUUACUGAGCCUGUAGCUUGGGGUUCAGUGCCCCACCACUUAGCACUCCGUGUGUAAUUGUCAGCUGUCUCCCUCUUAGUUCUGCACACUGAGAACAAGGCUGCCUGGCUGGUCACCUGGCAUCUCCACGGCCUCCCAUGAUUCCAAGCUCAAAGUUGGAAAACUGAAUAAAUAGAUGGGAGAGGGGAGCGUGGAGGGGGGAAGAGAGAAGGAAAACAAGCUAAUAGACCAGUGAAAUUCAGGUUUUGUUUUUAUCAAGUGAAAAAAAACUGAGCUCUCCCCCACAUACUCUGCUGUUGCUUCUGGCCUCGCUUUCUAUGUCUGGGCUCAUCUCACUCGGGGAGCAUGAUGAUUAUCCCUCCAUACCUUUUUUUUUUUUAACCAGAGGACUGUUCAGCUCUGGUUUAUGGUGGUGUGGGGGAACUGAACCUGGGACUUUGGAGUCUCUUUGCAUCACUGACCCCCCUAUCUCCCUGCCCUAUAAUUAUCCCCCUUAUAUGUACAAGCUGUUUAGAUCUUCUAAUAUUUUUUGAUGGAUAGCUUCCAUUAAAUCCUUAAAUAUAGCUACCAAUCACUGCUUCUCACUGUUCAAAUUAUAGAGUUUUUACUAAUUUAAAGUCUUUUUUUUUUUUUUAACCAGAGCAUUGCUCAGCCCUGGCAUAUGCCCUGGCAUAUGGUUGAACAUAGGGACCCUGGUGUCUCGGGCAUGGAAAUCUUUGGCAUAACUAUCACUCUGUCUCCCCCAUUUAGUAGUUGAAGACUUAGGGGUUACUUAAGUUUGAGGACUCAUUAAGCAAAUGUUAAGAUCUUUUAGGGGCUUAGCAGUGAUGCCCUCGGCUGAGUGCAGAUGUUACUGUGAGCAUGUGCAAGGACCCAGGUACAAGCCCCACCUACAGAGAGGAAGCUUCCUGUAGGUGUCGCUAUCUCCUCCUUCCCACUCAGUUUCUUUUUCUCUCUCCAGUAAAUAAAAUAUUUUUUAAAAAAACAACAAAAAUUAUUAAUUUACUUAUUAAUUUCCUACACAUGUCUAGAAUUCUAUUUCCCAAAUCAUAGUUUGUUUUCAUGGCCUGAAUCAGACUGACUCAUUUAUUUUACUUGAAUGAGAGAGAAGAAAGCACUGCUUUAGCUGUGGCUCGUGACAAUGCCAGGGAUUGAACCUGGUACCUGGAGCCUCAGACAUGAAAGUCGUUUGCAUUAUGCUAUCUCCUUGGCCUUGAAACAGAUUAAUUUACUUACAGACUUGAAGCAUUAUCUGAAUAUAGAUAAUCGUCUCAUUUUAGGCACAUUUCUUCUGGGAAUGUAGCCUUUAUGAAUCAGAUUAAGUCAAUAAGAAUAGGUUUUUAAAAAGUCAUCUUCUACAUUUUACACAAAAUUUGUUUUAAAAUUAAUUUGACCCCUGACAUGUGAGUAUUAAAGGAGUGACUGGAAGCAGCAGGACUGGGCAAAGUUAGAGGUGUUCUUUUUGAUAGCCUUUUCAUUCUUUCUUCAUUCCAGCUUUCUCUUCAGAUUAGACUGAGUUUUCAGAAGUGUUCUCCUUGCCUAAUGCCAUCAUGGAUGGUCCAGCCAGCCCUUCGCUGCAUGAGGAUUAUGCCACUUAAGGAAAUGUGGACUUAGAGAUAAUGGUCAUUAUUCUUGUUAUUGUCUCACCUCCAUUGAGUGAUAGAUAGUUGUGAUGAGUUUGCCCCUUAAAGAAAUCACUCUAGGUUUCUUUCUUGAUUCCCUUUACUUUUUUACUUUUUUCAGGAGUGGGUGAAAGGGGCAGGUAUGAAGUUAAGACAGUCAUUAAUAUAUAUAUAUAUAUAUAUGCAGUGAAAUCUGAGGUAGGAAACCUAAUUCAAAAUAUAUAACGGUGAGUAUAACGAUGAGCAAAGAUCAGUGUAGCAUUUUCUGUAAUAGUGUUUGUAAGCUCAAAGCAAUACACUGUUUUAAAGGACUUGAUUUAUGAGAUAGGAAAUGGGAGACCAGAGCACCCCACCCAGCUGCUCUGCUAUGCAGCCAUGCAGAGCUGGAGCCCUAGGCCUGCAAGUCUCUGCUCCAGUGUUGACCUUUAACCCUGACCCAGUAGGGAGUCUUUUCUCAUCUCUGACACUGAACUUUCUGAGUGGGGCUGCUUUAUCGUUCGCCUAACCCAGCUUUCUUUCCAGAUAACUUGUUUCUCAAGAACAAAGCAUUCUAGUUAGAUUUAACACCACUUUAGCAUGCACCUUACAUAUCUUUAUUUACUGGAUAGAGCUAGAGAGAAAGGGGAGGUAGAGAUGGAAAGAGAAAGACAGCUGCAGGUGGGUGGGGAGGUGAACCCUUGUCCUUGCACAUGGUGCUGUGAGCUCUCCAGUCACGACCACCCCAUGCACUGUUUUGAGAGAAAAUUAGUAAGCACACGUCAUUAGAAAACCAACACCGACUCAAAAUUAUCUAGGGACUGGCAAGUGUGAAUUGAAUACAUGUAUUCAAGCGGCAGUCUGGCCGAUAUAAAUGCGGUCUGUGAACUUCCUAUAUAAUGUGUUAUUCUGUAGAGAAUUAUUAAGGA
Long non-coding RNA from Erinaceus europaeus (western European hedgehog), 4108 nucleotides. RefSeq lists it as uncharacterized. The record is from RefSeq and is a predicted model, not a curated record. The transcript has 2 exons. Lineage: Eukaryota; Metazoa; Chordata; Mammalia; Eulipotyphla; Erinaceidae.